AUACGAAGGGGGCUAGCGUUGUUCGGAAUUACUAGGCGUAAAGAGUACGUAGGCGGUUGCUUAAGUCAGAUGUGAAAGCCCCGGGCUCAACCUGGGAACUGCAUUUGAAACUGAGUGACUAGAGUUUAAGAGAGGGGAGUAGAAUUCCGGGUGUAGCGGUGAAAUGCGUAGAGAUCCGGAGGAAUACCAGUGGCGAAGGCGGCUCCCUGGCUUAAAACUGACGCUGAGGUACGAAAGCGUGGGUAGCAAACAGGAUUAGAAACCCUAGUAGUCC
Molecule: ribosomal RNA, 274 nt
Filed under: uncultured bacterium
Lineage: Bacteria
Description: partial 16S ribosomal RNA
Rfam family: Bacterial small subunit ribosomal RNA
Source: RNAcentral